UCACAGAAAGACUUCUACAAAAUUCUUGGCGUUCCUAAAAAUGCCCCGCAGAAAGAUGUUAAAAAAGCAUAUUAUGAACUAGCUAAAAAAUACCAUCCAGACACAUCGAAAAACGAUCCAGAUGCCUCUCGAAAAUUCAAGGAAGUAUCAGAAGCGUACGAGAUACUCGGCGAAGCGAGCAAGCGGAAGCAGUACGACACGUGGG
Long non-coding RNA from Priapulus caudatus, 205 nucleotides. RefSeq lists it as uncharacterized. Lineage: Eukaryota; Metazoa; Priapulida; Priapulimorpha; Priapulimorphida; Priapulidae. The record is from RefSeq and is a predicted model, not a curated record. The transcript has 3 exons.